GAUGAACGCUGACAGAAUGCUUAACACAUGCAAGUCAACUGUGGCGGACGGGUGAGUAACGCGUAAAGAACUUGCCUCACAGUUAGGGACAACAUUUGGAAACGAAUGCUAAUACCUGAUACUGUGAGAGAGCUUUGCGUCCCAUUAGCUAGUUGGAGAGGUAACGGCUCAGCAAGGCGAUGAUGGGUAGCCGGCCUGAGGGGGUGAUCGGCCACAAGGGGACUGAGACAAGGCCCGUACGCCUACGGGAGGCAGCAGUCGGGAAUAUUGGACAAUGGACCAAAGUCUGAUCCAGCAAUUCGGUGGGCACGAUGAAGUUUUCGGAAGGUAAAGUGCUUUCAGUUGGGAAGCGGUACCAACAGAAGAAGCGACGGCUAAAUACGUGCCAGCAGCCGCGGUAAUUC
Molecule: ribosomal RNA, 404 nt
Filed under: uncultured bacterium
Lineage: Bacteria
Description: partial 16S ribosomal RNA
Rfam family: Bacterial small subunit ribosomal RNA
Source: RNAcentral